Molecule: ribosomal RNA, 497 nt
Filed under: uncultured bacterium
Lineage: Bacteria
Description: partial 16S ribosomal RNA
Rfam family: Bacterial small subunit ribosomal RNA
Source: RNAcentral
GAUGAACGCUGGCGGCGUGCCUAAUACAUGCAAGUCGAGCGAACGGACGAGAAGCUUGCUUUUCUGAUGUUAGCGGCGGACGGGUGAGUAACACGUGGAUAACCUACCUAUAAGACUGGGAUAACUUCGGGGAACCGGAGCUAAUACCGGAUAAUAUUUUGAACCGCAUGGUUCAAAAGUGAAAGACGGUCUUGCUGUCACUUAUAGAUGGAUCCGCGCUGCAUUAGCUAGUUGGUAAGGUAACGGCUUACCAAGGCAACGAUGCAUAGCCGACCUGAGAGGGUGAUCGGCCACACUGGAACUGAGACACGGUCCAGACUCCUACGGGAGGCAGCAGUAGGGAAUCUUCCGCGAUGGGCGAAAGCCUGACGGAGCAACGCCGCGUGAGUGAUGAAGGUCUUCGGAUCGUAAAACUCUGUUAUUAGGGAAGAACAUAUGUGUAAGUAACUGUGCACAUCUUGACGGUACCUAAUCAGAAAGCCACGGCUAACUACGUG